Molecule: long non-coding RNA, 1463 nt
Filed under: Lactuca sativa (garden lettuce)
Lineage: Eukaryota; Viridiplantae; Streptophyta; Magnoliopsida; Asterales; Asteraceae
Description: long non-coding RNA (LSAT_LNC005699)
Source: RNAcentral
UACUUACAUGCAUUAUUAACCACUCCGAUUGUAGAGCAGGUACUAAUAUUAUGGGUUUACGUAUUUCAGUUAAAAGACCCGAAGUAGCAAACCCUGGGUAAAAAUAGUACUUGAGACAGUUAUUUCGGUUAAAUNAUAAUUCUUAGCAGACAAAAAGUAAUUUUUUUUUAAAAUAUUGUUUCUUUCAUUCUUGUAUUGGAUUUCACCAAAUGAAAAAGACUCAUUUAAUUUUAAGAAAUUAUUACUUUUAUAACUAUAAAAAAUCUUUCUAAAUGUAAUGACUAGAAGUGCUACUGAUAAUAAGGAUCCACAAAGAAGAGCCGCAUAGCUCAAUAUCAUCAUACUUACAUGCAUUAUUAACCACUCCGAUUGUAGAGCAGGUACUAAUAUUGUGGGUUUACGUAUUUCAGUUAAAAGACCCGAAGUAGCAAAGCCCUGGGUAAAAAUAGUACUUGAGGCAGUUAUUUCGGUUAAAUAAUUUUUUCUUAUUUUGAAAUAAGGGACUAUAUGAAUAAGGGAGAAACUCCAUGAAAGAAAAAUUAAUGAUUCAUAUAAAUCACUUAGUGGGAAAUGGCCCGAAUAAAUCCAACGAGUGAUUAAUAAUCCUGUUAGACAUAAAAAAGUAACUAUCAUCCCCUUUUCUGACGAAUCAUAUGGUUUUAUGAUUUCAUUGCCCAAUAAGGUUAUCAAAUGAAUUAUAAUUACAAUUGAAACAAUUGAAAAGGAAAUAUGAGUGAAUAUAUGCUCUAAAGUUGAAAAUAUCAUAAAAAUGAAAAAAAAAGGGAGGGAAUCCCCUAAAUUAAUAUUAAUUAAGAAUUAGAAAUCGGGAAUUUAAUUUAUUUUUAUUAUAGGAUCUAUUGGAUAUCUUUUAGAAUAUGUCAUGCCGCUACUCGGACUCGAACCGAGAUGCUCUAGCACUGCUUCCUAAGAGCAGCGUGUCUACCGAUUUCACCAUAGCGGCUUACUCGAACUAAUAAUAGCCUAUUUAUAUUCAAUCGUCGAUAUUGAACAAGUCAAUUCAAUCAAAUAAGUUUUUUAGUCAACACUCAAAUUGAUAAAAAAAAUGAGUUCAAAAGUCAAUUUGAAGGUUCAUUAGUUUCAUUUAUUAGGGUGUCCGUUUAUUUAUCUUAUCUUAGGGCUUUGACAUAGUUUAUCCUAUUCGAAAAUCCAACUUUUGUAAGUAGAUUAUUCUCUCGAUAGAAUAAAAAAACUGUUUUCAUUUUUUACUUUUAUUGAUACUUCAUUAUUUCUCGUUUAUCUGAUUUCAUAAAUUUCAAACAAAAAAUAAAUUUUCUCAAUGAAUCCAAAAUAGGUUAUUUUGGAUUACUUCAAAUUGACACAUUAUUUGUACAUUGACAGAUUAGUUAUACAUAAUAUCUCAACAAUGGAGUUCUUUUAUUAAUUGGGCUCAAAAUUGGAGAUAUAUGGUAAAUCCAUUUCAUAUAGUAAUUACUAAAAAUUAU